GUAGGAUUGGGGGUGAUGGUGGUAGAAGUUGGGGUGACUUAGGAUGUGUGUGGGCCAGUGUCCUUGGGAUGCUUAGAGGUUUGGCUGGUGCUGAAUAGGCAUGUGUGUGCUUAGCUGGUCCCACUGGGUGUUGUUGCUAUGUGGGCGGGGCUGUGUGGAAUGGACCCUGGUGCUUGACCGUUGUUGGUGGAGGAAUGGUCCCUGUGGCACUGGAGUGGAUGGAGGAGAAAUGCGACAUCUGUGUGUGUGGAGGUAGGGGGUGAUGACAGUGUGAGUAGUUGGAGUCUGGGGAGGUGGAUAAGGUGGAACAUAUGAGUGGAAAGAGAAGUGUGGUCUAGGGGUUGUGAUGUGGUUGGAUAGGUGGUGGUCGUCUUGAAGGAUGUUGCAGUGUGGGACCUGUGGAAGAGAUGGGGUUACUCCUGUAGCUGCAGAGGAGUGUGUGAAAUUGAAAGAAGGUGUAGGUGGCAUUUCUGGCUGCUGGUGCUGAGAAUUGGGUGUGGAGUACAGGGUGCAGUUAUUCUGGAGUGGGGUUGGGGGUGAUGGUGGUAAAAGUUGGAGUGACUACAGUAUGGAGUGUCGAAGAAGCAUGUGUGUGUCGGGAUGUAGAGGUUUUGGCUGUGCUGAAUAGGCACCGGGGUUUGGCUGGGUCCCGGCUUGUGGUUUGCUGUCAUUGGGGGUGCUGUGUGAGUGGACACUGUGCCUGUGGUCUUGACCGUUGUAGGUGGAGGAAUGGUGCCUGUUGGUGUUGAGUGGAUGUAGGCAGAAGUGGACCUUACCUGUGUGGAGUCAGGUGAUGACUGUGUGAGUGCCCAGGUACAGAGGGAGGUGGAGAAAGGUGGGGCAUGAGUGGGAAGUGGUGUGAGGUUGUGAUGGGGUUGGAUAGGUAGUGGUGGUUUUGGAGGAUAGUCCGGGACCUUGUGGAGAAGUGUGGCUGCUCCCUGGGUGGGGAGUGUGUGGGUGAAGCCUGUGGCGGGGUAGUCACUGCUGGUGGCCCGGUGUGGCCCUACAGGGGUGCCGGUUCUACUGGUUUGUUUGGGAGUAAUGGUGGUGAGUACCCAGGGUGAUUUCAGUUUGGUGUGUGGAGGAAGGGUGUGAGUGCAAGGAU
This 1105-nucleotide long non-coding RNA is filed under the name Papio anubis (olive baboon). Its description in RNAcentral is "lncRNA (ENSPANG00000041045.1)". Lineage: Eukaryota; Metazoa; Chordata; Mammalia; Primates; Cercopithecidae. The record is from RNAcentral.